This is a non-coding RNA of Gossypium arboreum, 122 nucleotides long. The record is from Rfam. NCBI's taxonomy places the organism in Eukaryota, Viridiplantae, Streptophyta, Magnoliopsida, Malvales, Malvaceae.
AUUAGUAAAAUGACAAAUCAGAUUUUUCCUCCUGAUUUUUAACUUUUUCCUCCUGAAAAAAUUCAAAUCCAACUAAAAAUGAUAAAAAUCAGGAGGAAAAUUUUGAUUUGUCAUUCUUCAAU